RNAcentral lists this long non-coding RNA (6250 nucleotides) under Nicotiana benthamiana. RNAcentral describes it as "long non-coding RNA (NBEN_LNC031018)". The record is from RNAcentral. Lineage: Eukaryota; Viridiplantae; Streptophyta; Magnoliopsida; Solanales; Solanaceae.
AGAUAGCUUCAAUAACCCUAGCCGCCACAACCUUCUAUGAACACAUUAUCACCACCCGCCCCCCCCGGCCAAGUUGGAGAGGGAAGAAUAAACCCCUAACUUGCUUAGAAGCUCACGAUGAGAAGACCCAUAAAGAGGUUUAGUAAAGAUGUCCACUAACUGAGAACGAGUGGGAAGAAAAGAGAGAGAGAAAUGAGGGCAGAUUGAAACUGCUCACGGAUGAAAUGGCAAACAAGUUCGACGUGUUUCGUCCGCUCGUGAAAUACAAGAUUUUUGGCGACGUAAGUCGCGCCUUGGCUAUCAAAAUGAAGAGGAAUAGGCAAAGUGGAAGGUACAAAGAGAUAUGUAGGGAGGUGAGACAACCAAGUUAAAUCUGCAACUACACUGUGCAUAGAUAUGUACUCUGCCUCGACAGAUGACAAAGAAACUGCAGGUUGUUUAUAGGAUUUCCAAAAAGAGGGAAAACCGCCCAAACUGAUAAAGAAACCACUGAUGCAGUGUCGGGAAACAAGACAGAUUAAUUCUCUAAUCCGAGUCACAAAAAGUAAGAAGAUCAAAAGAAGGGGAAGAGGUCAUGAAAAGUUCAAGACCGGGGUUCUUGAGAAGAUAGUGAAGGCAAUGCAUGACAGCAUCCAUAUGGAGAGAACGACGAUAUUGCAUAAAUUGGGAAAGGUGUUGAACAACAAAGGAAAGAUUCGUUCUAGUGUGAGUCAAAAAAUUGAGCGUACCAAGAAACCGGCGGUAAAAGGAAGGAUCAGAAAGAAGAGGGCUAACCCCGGCAAACAAAUUAUGAUUUGGAUCCAAAGGUGAAUUUACUGGAGAAGGGUCCAGAAGAGCAAAUUCAGUGAGCAACUCAAGGUCAAACUUGUGUUGGCUAAUGACCAAACUAGUGGGCUCCCGUAAGAUCUCCAUACCUAGAAAAAACUGUUUCACUUCUUUCAAUUCUUGCUUAUUAUUUCUAGUGAAAAAGGUGUCACCAAUGUACACUGCCAUUAGAUUUAAGUUUCACCUUGUAAAGCCAUUUACAGAGUUGAGCCUUUCUCCCAGGCAGUAGAGAUACUACUUCCCAAGUCUCAUUCUCCAAUAAAGCAUCUAGUUCCUUAGCCCUGGCUUCUUGCUAGCCAAAAUAGGUAACAACUUGAGAAAAUGUGCUAGACUCCUGAAUAUAGGAGAUAGAAUUAACAAUUUAUCGAUUGGAAUAAGAAAGGGAAGAGAAGGAAAUAACAAUAUGAGAUAUAGAUAAAAGAAAAUAUGGGUUAAAUACAUUUAUAAGAUGGAUAACACCACAUAUAGAAUCUGAAAGGUAGGAAGAUGUCUUAUGUUCUCUUAAGGACCUGUGCAAAGGGGUUUUAGAAGUAAUUGGAGAAGUGAAUUAUGUAUAGGUGGCAUAGGAAAAGGAGAAAGGAUGGUGGUGAAGGAAGGGUGAAGGUGCAGAACAAGAAGAUGAUGGGGUAAAAGAUGACCUGAAUAUAGGAAUAGGAGAGGAAGGAGAGGAGAAGGGGAAGAACUAAAAGAUGAAUCAGCAACAUGUGGAGAACUAGGAGUAAGGGAAGAAGUAGGAGACGAGGAAGGUAUAGAUAAAGGAUAGGAAGAAAAGGUACAGUAGGGGAAUCAGGAAAUAGUGGAGGAGAAAUAGAAGGUAGAAUAGAGAAGGGGAAGAUAAAUUUGUGGAAAACAAUAUUCCUAGAAAUAAAUAUAUUGUUAGUUUGCAACUUCAAUAACUUGUAACCUUUCUUGCCAUAGGGGUAACUAAGAAAGACACAAAUAGUAGCCCAAGGAUUAAGUUUUCCUAUAUCUUGGGACAAAUUAGAUGCAAAACAUAAGAAACCAAAAUAUUUAAGAAAAUUAUAAUUAGGAGAUUUUCCAAACAUAACCGCAUAUGGUGUUUUGCAAUGAAACAAUUUGGUAGGAUAUCUGUUGAUAAUUGUCAAGAGACACUCACCCCAGUACGUAGUAGGAACUUUAGAUUAUAGUAGCAAAGCUCUAUAGGUUUCAAGCAAGUGUUUCUCUUUCCUUUCAAAAAUACUAUUUUGUUGAGGGUGUAGCCACACAACUAGUUUAGUGAAGGAUACAUUUGGAUUGAAAAUAGAUGGCAGCAGUAGAGCCACUCCCCAACUCUAAGGCAUUAUCAGAUCUAAUGACUUUAAUUUUGGUGUCAAAUUGCCUUUAUGCCACAGUAAUAAAAGAUUUAAUAAUAGUAAAAGCAUUUUCUUUGGUUCUCAAAAGAUAGUCCAAGUACACCCUAUUAAAAUUAUCAACUAUAGUAAGGAAGUACUUAAAACAAUCAUUAGGUUCAUAAGAAGGCACUCCUUCCAAUAUCUCAGUUGCUCUUUGAGAUAGAUAACAAAGUGUUGUUUCCCCGUGCUGAGAGAAGAUUUAUUGCAUCCAAAGCUGACAUGUUCCUUAUGGAAGCCUUGGAUAAUCUUACCACCAUCAAUCUACCUGGCAUAAUGAUUGAACAUAUAUAUAAGGUGGCAAACCUUAAGGAUGGGAAUCGUGGGUUACCUUAUGAUUUUCUUCUCACAAAGGUCUUUGAGUUCUUCAAAGUACCUCCUCGACAUGCCAAAGUGGGCACUAAAGAGCAAUACUUUUCAAAAAACGCUCUUGAGGAGUGUGAGUGCAUUGACAAGUUCGGAGGACUUGGAACCACUUCCACUAUCUCUCAGUUGAUAAAUGCUCAGAAUAUUGCCACAGAAGAGAUCCAAAAGUUGAAGUCUAGGAACGCGAUUCUUGAGAGUCGGCUUAGUUAGUUACAAGAGGCACCUGGUUCUAGUAGUUCUCAUAGUUCAGAGGUUGCACGCCUAACGAUGGAAAAUGUUUAAUUCGGGAAAUAGGUGGAGGACCUGAAAUAAAGACUGCUCAAUGAGAAAAUAUCCACAAAUGCUCGCAUGGAUCUUGUUCUCUAAACCUUUGCUUCCUCUUCAAAGCCCCCUUCCUCCAGUGCCCCAUAAAGGAUGUCCCCUCAGUAUCAAGUUUCCAGUGUCCAUCUUCUUAGUUGUAAUUAUUUCUAGUAAUUUUUUUUGUUUGUUUUAAAAUUAUGGAUGAUAACAAUAAUUCUUCUCCCGCCUGUAAAGGUCCAAAUUUGGUUAAUGCAAGUGAUUUUCUUUUGUUUUUUAUGUUACUACUAUUUUUUUUCUAUUUUCUAUCGUGUUGUGUGCACACAAGUGGAAUGAGUUAACCACGCUAGACUUUUUUAUGUUGCUUACUUGUUCUGUGCUAUUUUAUGAUGCCAAAAGGGGGAAGAUUAAAUUGAAUAAUAAAGAGAAUAAAUGAAUAAUAAUAUGAAGGGGGCCAGCGGGAACUCAUUGAGGUUCAGGUACAGAUUAAGGGGAAACUUAAGGUCAUUCGGGUUCCCUGUCUGGUUCUAUGUGGCUCUUUAUGGGAUUUUCAAUUAUGCGUUUGUCAUUAUCAAAAAGGGAAAAAUUGAUAGAUUACAAGUACUUUGGUCAUAAGUACUUUAUUUCUAACAAACUUACUAUCCAGAACCAGAUAAGGAACAUGUUACACAUUCAUAAGACCUUAAAAUCACAAAGUUCCAGCUUAGGAUAUGGCAAAUCUUCAGAGUAGAAGGAAUAGCUGAGGGAACAGGUCCCUACCAAUUCCCGAGGAGACUGUACGAAGUCAAUUCUCCAGUUGAAAAGUUUCUGCCGGCAUACGCUACAAUACAUGAACAGAGCAUCAAUCAACUUUCUGUGGAAGGCUUUUUACCUACAUUGCUUGUAUCAUUGUACGUGAUGUCACACAUAUAUUAUACAUCAAGGGGUAAAACACAUUCACUUGAACACUUAGAGUUUUUACUCGAACUCUCUCGCGUGAUCAUCGAGGAAGUAAUUCUCAAGUGAAUCAAGAAUAAAGAACAAAAUAAAUACAGACUAGUUCACACAUCAAGUUAUUGUAUUUACUUAGUUGUGUUGUAACUUUGUAAUAAUUCUUCAAGUGUAAUUCCUACAUAGCUUAUUUUGGAAGCAUUCUGUAAGAAAUCCUUUGUAAACCUUAAACCAAUGUGUUUGAGUCUUGGCUAGGGUUAGUCAAGUUACAAAGUCUAUGUAAUAGAGUUAUUACAAAGUGGCUUGUAAUAGAGUAUUAUAAGUUAAUAAGAUAUUAAGAGGUUAAUUUCUAAGUUACAUGGGUUGCAAUAUAAAAAUUGCCCAGUAGUAAAGUUGAAAUCCUACAAGGGUAGGUCAUGGUUUUUAAUCCCGUUGAGCUGAAAAUUUUCCACGCAAAAUUUCUCUUGUCAUUUAUUUACUGCAGUGUGCGUGUGUACUAUUGAACUUGAUAGAGAACCUGGUUCUCUAUAGAGUUUGGUAGACGCUUAUAUUCUAUCACCAUAGAUUGCCACAUGAAAUUUUAGCUAGAUAAUGAAGUGCAAAUAGACUGAUGACAAUUAUUUAUAGAUAAUAAGUUUGUCUUACGUGCAUGUGAUAAAAAUUGGGUGAAAAGUUUGCAUAAGAUAGAGUCCAUCUUUCACUCUACCAGGAUCCAGAGGCUUCCUCAAAGAAGGGUCUUGUAAGAAAGAAGAAGUAGCGGAGAAGGUAAGCAAGCUGUUAAAUUUUGAACAUAAUUUCUGAACUGAUAAUAGGUUGAAUUUGAAACUAAGAACUAAAAGGACUUUGUUUAGAGUUAAUUUAAGAUGAGUACAAGAUUGACCUGCAUGAGCGACUUUAAUCCUAAAAGAGUUAGAUAUGUUUACAAAAGUAGGCUGUUGUAAGGGCUUAAUGUUGAAUAAAAUGGACUCAUCAAAUAUGAUAUGUACUGAAGUCCCAGAGUCAAAUAUCCAAAAAUGAUAGAUAGAGUUUUUAGAAGUAGUUAAGAUAGUAAAGGAAAUAAUACUUGCAUAGUUAACUAUCAUAUUUUGUUUAAAGCUAGAUGUGUCUUGUUGUCAGUUUUAACCUCGUAUGGUAUCUAAUCAAUUGAUAAAUGUUCUCUUGAUUCAGUUCGAUAGUAACAUUAGUGCUUAGAGUCUAAGUAGAUUCUUCUUGAGUAUUUAUUGCAUUACUACGUGCUGAAUUAUAGAAUGUUGACUGUGUAUGCUGCCUUGAUUUUUUUUUCAUAAAACCUCCUUGUUGAAAAUUUGUGGGAUAAUCAUGGAGUUUGAAAUAUUUUUCUAUAGUAUGUCCUGGCGUUUUGCAAUACUUGUAACUAAAAUUAUUUCUCUUGUAGCCCUGAUAGGAGUUUGGCUUUGAGGUGUUGUCAGAUGCCCCUUGCUGCAGAUUGAACCUCUUAUUUUCUUGACCUAGGAUGGAUGAUUUUCUCGCAACAGAGAAAGAACUGGACGUUUUAGGUAAAUUUUUCAUAUGUUGUAUACUCAUUUUCCUCUCCUCUUGUAGUAACAGAAAGUAUGCUCGAUCAAUGUCUAAUGAGGAAUUCAUCAUUAAAAACAGUAUAUGUUUCAUUAAGUCUCAUAAAAAAUUACACUAUUUUUUGUCUUUUCUCAAGUUCAUUGUUUUUCUCCACACUUACAAUCAACACAACUACAUACUGCCCUAGCAUCGAGUAGAUCAAUUUCAUCCCAUAUACCUUUCAUGUUAUUAAAAUAUGUCGCGAUAUUGUUUCAUCCUUGUACAAUUUUCAUUAUUUGGUUUUAUAAUUUAAAUAAUUGUGCUAGGUUAGACUCUUCAUAUCUUUUUUCAAGCUAUUUUCACAAAUUAUGUGCAGAUUUGGAGUGAAUUACACUGCAUCUAAUUUCUUUGGUGAGAGAAUUCAACAGCCAAGCAAAUACAAUAUCAUUGCGUGUCAUCCAUAGAUUGGAAAAUUCAGAAUUUUUCUUUGGUUUUAGCUAGGUCUCAUCGAUGCAACCAAGCUUGUUAUCAGCAGAUAAGGAGACUAAAAUAGAUUUCCUCCAUGAUCCAUAUCUGGUGACGUCAAAAGCAGAAUAUACUAAAGCCACAUCUGGCGAGUCUGAUGCAUGGAGAUAGUAAAGACCAUAUUCAACCGAAAAAAUUAAAGAAUUUCUGAGAUUUCUAGAAGUUUCUGUAGAAGUCGAAAAUGGAUCUAGUGAAAUUGACUUGCUUAUACUAUAUAAACUUGGGGAAGAAGAAAAAUUAGUUUUAUUUUGCUCAAAAUGAAAUAUCUGUACAAUGUCACAUUACAUACACGCAUCAAUUAACCUAGCUGCCUAUCACAUAUUCAUUUAUAUUCCCACAUGUGUAUAAAUAAGUUAUGUUGAGUCACUACGAGAAAGUAUAUAAUUUGCAAUAAUUUUUUAGUAACAAUAAUGAUUGUUGCUAUAUAUCAAUAAAUGGCAACAACU